UUGGAGCUAGGGUUAGGGUUGGGCUUGGAGCUAGGAUUUUUCUGAGUGCAAUGAACCAACUCCCGAGUCUCUAGGACGUUCCUAAAAAAAUUUGAUUUUUUCCCAUAGGAAUGCAUGGGUUAGGGUUAGGGUUAGGGUUGGAGCUAGGGUUAGGGUUAGGGUUAGGGUUGGAGUUAGGGUUAGUGUUGGAGCUAGGGUUAGGGUUGGGCUUGGAGCUAGGAUUUUUCUGAGUGCACUGAACCAACUCCCGAGUCUCUAGGACAUUCCUAAAAAAAUUUGAUUUUUUCCCAUAGGAAUGCAUGGUUUAGGGUUAGGGUUAGGGUUAGGGUCUGAGCUAGGGUUAGGGUUGGAGUUAGGGUUAGUGUUGGAGCUAGGGUUAGGGUUGGGCU
Xyrichtys novacula (pearly razorfish) is the source of this 389-nucleotide non-coding RNA. NCBI's taxonomy places the organism in Eukaryota, Metazoa, Chordata, Actinopteri, Labriformes, Labridae. The record is from the annotation of a GenBank genome assembly.